AUUGAACGCUGGCGGCAUGCCUUGCACAUGCAAGUCGAACGGCAGCACGGGUGCUUGCACCUGGUGGCGAGUGGUGAACGGGUGAGUAAUACAUCGGAACGUACCUUAUCGUGGGGGAUAACGCAGCGAAAGCUGUGCUAAUACCGCAUACGCCCUGAGGGGGAAAGCGGGGGAUCGAAAGACCUCGCGCGAUUAGAGCGGCCGAUGCCUGAUUAGCUUGUUGGUGGGGUAAAAGCCCACCAAGGCGACGAUCAGUAGCUGGUCUGAGAGGACGAUCAGCCACACUGGGACUGAGACACGGCCCAGACUCCUACGGGAGGCAGCAGUGGGGAAUUUUGGAAAAUGGGGGCAACCCUGAUCCAGCAAUGCCGCGUGAGUGAAGAAGGCCUUCGGGUUGUAAAGCUCUUUUGUCAGGGAAGAAACACCGGCUCUAACACAGUCCGGGAAUGACGGUACCUGAAGAAUAAGCACCGGCUAACUACGUGCCAGCAGCCGCUGUAA
RNAcentral lists this ribosomal RNA (501 nucleotides) under uncultured bacterium. RNAcentral's name for it is "partial 16S ribosomal RNA". It matches the Rfam family "Bacterial small subunit ribosomal RNA", at positions 30 to 523 of the family's 1533-position model. The record is from RNAcentral.